This 969-nucleotide ribosomal RNA is filed under the name Phrosia albilabris. Its description in RNAcentral is "eukaryotic LSU rRNA". It matches the Rfam family "Eukaryotic large subunit ribosomal RNA", at positions 128 to 911 of the family's 3401-position model. Lineage: Eukaryota; Metazoa; Arthropoda; Insecta; Diptera; Scathophagidae. The record is from RNAcentral.
UAUGGCGAAUGUGAGAUGCAGUGUAUGGAAUGUCAAAUUUCUAGUAUGAGAAAUUAACGAUUUAAGUCCUUCUUAAAUGAGGCCAUUUACCCAAAGAGGGUGCCAGGCCCGUAUAACGUUAAUGAUUACUAGAUGACAUUUCCAAAGAGUCGUGUUGCUUGAUAGUGCAGCACUAAGUGGGUGGUAAACUCCAUCUAAAACUAAAUAUAACCAUGAGACCGAUAGUAAACAAGUACCGUGAGGGAAAGUUGAAAAGAACUCUGAAUAGAGAGUUAAAUAGUACGUGAAACUGCUUAGAGGUUAAGCCCGAUGAACCUGAAUAUCCAUUAUGGAAAAUUCAUCAUUAUGAUUUUAAUAUUUGUAAUAUUAUAAUAAUGGUGUGCAUUUUUUCCAUAUAAGGACAUUGUAAUCUAUUAACAAACACAUUUAUUAUAAGAUCAAUUGCUUUAGUUUAUUCAAAUUAGUUUUGCUUGCAAAUUUAACAUAGAAUAAAUGCUUUUGAUUUGAUAAAGUGUCGAUAGAUUUAUUAUAUAUAGUGCUUGAAUAUAUUUAUAUAUUCUAUAAUAGCGUAUUGAUCAAUGAUUUUUAUGUUCAUUAUAUGCACUUAUAUGAUUAACAAUGCGAAAGAUUCAGGAUACCUUCGGGACCCGUCUUGAAACACGGACCAAGGAGUCUAACAUAUUUGCAAGUUAUUGGGAAUUAAAAACCUAAUAGCGAAAUUAACAUAACUUAUAUAAUGGGAUUAGUUUUUAUGUCUAUAUGUAUGUAUAGUCUAUUAAUUCAAUCCCGGGGCGUUCUAUACAGUUAUGUAUAAUAAUAUUUAUAUUAUUUAUACCUCUAACUAGAGCGUACCUUGAGCAUAUAUGCUGUGACCCGAAAGAUGGUGAACUAUACUUGAUCAGGUUGAAGUCAGGGGAAACCCUGAUGGAAGACCGAAACAGUUCUGACGUGCAAAUCGAUUGUCAGAAU